This 74-nucleotide transfer RNA is filed under the name Desmophyllum pertusum. RNAcentral describes it as "Lophelia pertusa tRNA". It matches the Rfam family "tRNA". From Rfam's summary of the family: Transfer RNA (tRNA) molecules are approximately 80 nucleotides in length. Their secondary structure includes four short double-helical elements and three loops (D, anti-codon, and T loops). The record is from Rfam by way of RNAcentral. Lineage: Eukaryota; Metazoa; Cnidaria; Anthozoa; Scleractinia; Caryophylliidae.
CGCUCCGUAGUUCAGUGUGUUAGAGCAUCCGACCGGUGUACGGAAGGUCAUGGCUUCGAUUCCCGUCGGGGCCU